RNAcentral lists this ribosomal RNA (485 nucleotides) under uncultured bacterium. RNAcentral describes it as "partial 16S ribosomal RNA". It matches the Rfam family "Bacterial small subunit ribosomal RNA", at positions 30 to 507 of the family's 1533-position model. The record is from RNAcentral.
AUUGAACGCUGGCGGCAUGCCUUACACAUGCAAGUCGAACGGCAGCACGGGUGCUUGCCCCUGGUGGCGAGUGGCGAACGGGUGAGUAAUACAUCGGAACAUGUCCUGUAGUGGGGGAUAGCCCGGCGAAAGCCGGAUUAAUACCGCAUACGAUCUACGGAUGAAAGCGGGGGACCUUCGGGCCUCGCGCUAUAGGGUUGGCCGAUGGCUGAUUAGCUAGUUGGUGGGGUAAAGGCCUACCAAGGCGACGAUCAGUAGCUGGUCUGAGAGGACGACCAGCACACUGGGACUGAGACACGGCCCAGACUCCUACGGGAGGCAGCAGUGGGGAAUUUUGGACAAUGGGCGAAAGCCUGAUCCAGCAAUGCCGCGUGUGUGAAGAAGGCCUUCGGGUUGUAAAGCACUUUUGUCCGGAAAGAAAUCCUUGGCCCUAAUACGGUCGGGGGAUGACGGUACCGGAAGAAUAAGCACCGGCUAACUACGUG